ACUUUCAGGAGCAUUGGCUCAAUUUGUGUAUUUGGUCAAAACUCCACAGCUGAACAAGUCACUAGGGGAUAAUUUAAAUGAGAAGCUAGCAAAAAAGACAAAAAAACAAAACAAAAAAACAACUCUUUUUGAUAUUUGAAGCAUCUUUACCUUGGAAGCCUCAAUGGUACAAGGUGUAGCUCUCACAUUCUUCAAAGAAUUUUCAAAACUGCCACCACUUGAUGUAUUAUUCAUUGAAUUUUGCUAAUGAUAGAUGAGCAAAACGUACUCUGGAUACAGAAUGAAUAGGCAAGCCACAGACUGGGAGAAAAUCAGAAUACAUGUAUCUGACAAAGUAUUUAUAUUCAGAAUAUAUAAAACACUCCUACAACUCAAUAAGAUAAACAACUCACUUAAAAAUGGGCAAAAAGCACUAACUGAAAACUGUACUUUGGAAUAAAUACUAAAGUAAUUUAAUUUAUUUCUAAACAUCUAAAUGCAAUCAAGUUACUUUGUAAGACAAUCUGUGAUUUGAACUUUGGGGGUUGGGGGGCGGUGGUAACUUUAGCUGAUUGUUUCAAGUGGAUCCUGCUCCGUAGUGGCAUUUCUUGGAAAUAAAGUCACCAUCCAAGCGUA
Molecule: non-coding RNA, 615 nt
Organism: Equus caballus (horse)
Lineage: Eukaryota; Metazoa; Chordata; Mammalia; Perissodactyla; Equidae
Source: RefSeq, a predicted model, not a curated record